AAUUCUUUGUAUUGGCAAUGCCAUAUUCAGCGUAUUUUAUUUUGUCGCUGGAAUAUUGAUGUUUUUUGGUAUAAAAUUGGAUAAGAGAUCGAUGUUUAAGGCAGGCAAAAUCCUCAGUUAUUUUUUCCCAUUUUUAAAUGUUCCCAUAUUUGCAUAUAUCCACUGUAUGGCUAUCAGACAACUUUGCCGUUAUGAUCGUGAACGCUGGGGAUAGCUAAUGGUCAAAACUCCCCGUUUUCAUCUGGAU
Molecule: non-coding RNA, 247 nt
Organism: Drosophila suzukii
Lineage: Eukaryota; Metazoa; Arthropoda; Insecta; Diptera; Drosophilidae
Source: RefSeq, a predicted model, not a curated record